GACGAACGCUGGCGGCGUGCUUAACACAUGCAAGUCGAACGGAAAGGCCCUGCUUUUGUGGGGUGCUCGAGUGGCGAACGGGUGAGUAACACGUGAGUAACCUUCCCUUGACUUUGGGAUAACUUCAGGAAACUGGGGCUAAUACCGGAUAGGAGCUCCUGCUUCAUGGUGGGGGUUGGAAAGUUUCGGCGGUUGGGGAUGGACUCGCGGCUUAUCAGCUUGUUGGUGGGGUAGUGGCUUACCAAGGCUUUGACGGGUAGCCGGCCUGAGAGGGGGACCGGACCCAUCGGGACUGAAAUACGGCACAGACUCCAACGGGAGGCAGCAGUGGGGAAUAUUGCACAAUGGGCGGAAGCCUGAUGCAGCCAAGCCGCGUGCGGGAUGACGGCCAUCGGGUUGUAAACCGCUUUCGCCUGUGACGAAGCGUGAGUGACGGUAAUGGGUAAAGAAGCUCCGGCUAACUACGUG
RNAcentral lists this ribosomal RNA (468 nucleotides) under uncultured bacterium. Its description in RNAcentral is "partial 16S ribosomal RNA". It matches the Rfam family "Bacterial small subunit ribosomal RNA", at positions 28 to 507 of the family's 1533-position model. The record is from RNAcentral.